RNAcentral lists this long non-coding RNA (419 nucleotides) under Prunus dulcis (almond). RNAcentral's name for it is "sRNA ncRNA". The record is from RNAcentral. Lineage: Eukaryota; Viridiplantae; Streptophyta; Magnoliopsida; Rosales; Rosaceae.
AGCAAAAGAUAUUAGUGAAGGUGCAAAUGCACUGUGACAAAUGCAGAACCAAGGCGUUGAAGAUUGCAGCAUCUGCAUACGGUAUAUAUAUAUCCAUGAUCCAUCAAAAUUUCUUUCAACUUUUCCAGAUAUAUUAAUUGGAGUUGAUAACAUAAGCAGGUGUGAGCAAAGUGUCGAUAGAAGGAGCAAACAGGGAUCAUGUGGAGGUGAUCGGAGACGGUGUGGACUCGGUUUGCGUGACGGAGUUGCUAAGGAAGAAGCUUGGCUUCGCGGCCAUAGUUAAAGUUGAACAAGUGAAAGGAGAUAAAAAAGAGGAAAAGCCAACUGCAAACUAUGUACAGUAUUGUGCUCCGCAUCGUCCUCCAAUGUACUGUGAAGUGGUUCGCGAAUAUCCAGAGCCAACUUGCUCUAUCAUGUAA